CAGUCGCCACGGGAAUACGAAGGGUGCAAGCGUUACUCGGAAUUACUGGGCGUAAAGCGUGCGUAGGUGGUGGUUUAAGUCCGUUGUGAAAGCCCUGGGCUUAACCUGGGAAUUGCAGUGGAUACUGGGUCACUAGAGUGUGGUAGAGGAUAGUGGAAUUUCCGGUGUAGCAGUGAAAUGCGUAGAGAUCGGAAGGAACAUCUGUGGCGAAGGCGAUUAUCUGGGCCAACACUGACACUGAUGCACGAAAGCGUGGGGAGCAAACAGGAUUAGAUACCCCAGUAGUCCCUGUCUCUUAUAC
Molecule: ribosomal RNA, 301 nt
Filed under: uncultured bacterium
Lineage: Bacteria
Description: partial 16S ribosomal RNA
Rfam family: Bacterial small subunit ribosomal RNA
Source: RNAcentral